This 303-nucleotide ribosomal RNA is filed under the name uncultured bacterium. Its description in RNAcentral is "partial 16S ribosomal RNA". It matches the Rfam family "Bacterial small subunit ribosomal RNA", at positions 507 to 807 of the family's 1533-position model. The record is from RNAcentral.
AGCAGUAGCCGCGGUAAUACGGAGGGAGCUAGCGUUGUUCGGAAUUACUGGGCGUAAAGCGCACGUAGGCGGCUUUGUAAGUCAGAGGUGAAAGCCUGGAGCUCAACUCCAGAACUGCCUUUGAGACUGCAUCGCUCGAAUCCGGGAGAGGUGAGUGGAAUUCCGAGUGUAGAGGUGAAAUUCGUAGAUAUUCGGAAGAACACCAGUGGCGAAGGCGGCUCACUGGACCGGUAUUGACGCUGAGGUGCGAAAGCGUGGGGAGCAAACAGGAUUAGAUACCCGAGUAGUCCCUGUCUCUUAUAC